GCCCCUGUGGCGGAAUUGGUAGACGCGUCCGACUCAAAAUCGGAUGCCGCAAGGCUUGCCGGUUCGAGUCCGGCCGGGGGUACCA
RNAcentral lists this transfer RNA (85 nucleotides) under Sphingomonas sp. RNAcentral describes it as "tRNA-Leu". It matches the Rfam family "tRNA". From Rfam's summary of the family: Transfer RNA (tRNA) molecules are approximately 80 nucleotides in length. Their secondary structure includes four short double-helical elements and three loops (D, anti-codon, and T loops). RNAcentral also lists the same sequence under 2 other names. Lineage: Bacteria; Pseudomonadati; Pseudomonadota; Alphaproteobacteria; Sphingomonadales; Sphingomonadaceae. The record is from RNAcentral.